Phyllostomus hastatus (greater spear-nosed bat) is the source of this 3206-nucleotide long non-coding RNA. RefSeq lists it as uncharacterized. The transcript has 3 exons. The record is from RefSeq and is a predicted model, not a curated record. Lineage: Eukaryota; Metazoa; Chordata; Mammalia; Chiroptera; Phyllostomidae.
GCUGACACAAGGGGAGUGUGACAGAAAUAUCUGGGGGCUGCCAUGUUUCUCCUUUUGUGUUUUAUGUUGACUCCAUGGGAGCGAAGCGGCCCUUCCAGGAAAAUCCCUAACCCAAGCGGAAUGCAGAGUGGACAAAGUCAGCUGAUCCACCAAUCCGAGCUGAGACUUACAGAGCACCUACUACGCACCAGGCUGUAUAUCAAAUAUGCUGUCAUCAGUAUGUCAUCGGAUCCUCACAGCGGUCCCACAAGAGAAAAAAAUUGAGGCUCUGAAAAGCAAAGCUACUCACCAAGGUCAAAGAAAGGUGGGGCUGGGAUUUGAACCCUUCUUUCGGAGCCCCGAGCACAUGCUAAGAACCAUGAAGCCACUGGUUUUCUGAUUAUGGACCCUGGACCAUCAGCAUCAGAAUCACCCCCGGGUGUGGCCAUUUAAGAUGCAGAUCCCUGGGCCCCACCCAGAUGCCUUGAACUUGAACGUCUGGAGGAGGGUGGUCUCCGCUCUGCAUUUUGAACCAAGUUCCCCAAAUCAGGUCCCUGCCUUGGCUGAGGCUUGCAAAUCACCCUACAAGACUCAGGUUCCAGGCCGGCCCUUCAACUGUGAUUCAUAAACAGCUUUCCAAGCGUUCGUGACCUCCUGCUAAACUGGAGUGCUGUACAACACACGUUCAUUCCCUCUCCUCGUCCCGUCAGAGCAAUGCAGACCGUUCUGCCCCAUUGACUUUGAAUGAGACCACAUGACUGACUUCACCCAAUGGAGUGUGAACAGAUGGGAUGUGAUAGAACCUUGAACCCUGUUUGCACACUGUGCCUUGUCUCUCGAGCUUCUGCCAUCCACACAAAAAGGAAAGAGCAGCUGUCCCUUCAGAAUCAGACACGGGGCAGAGCUGAACUGUCCCGAAACCCAGAUCCAAGUGCAGCCAACCCAUAGUGUGAAAUGGAAACGCCUCCGGGAUCUGACCAUAAACACAUGAGCAAGAAAUUAGAGGAAGCAAGAAAAGUAGGUGCUUGUUGUUGGUAGCCAUUGAGUUGAGGGAUGAUUUGUUAUGCAGCAUAACUUCAGCUAUGGCUGACUGAUACAGCUAAAAUAUAUAUCCUGUGUUGUGUGUCCACUUUUAUAUUGUGGGCCCACUGUUCUGGAAGGAAGAUACAGAGAACUUCCAGCAAGUUGUCAAGAGACCAGGGGCCCAAAAAGUAUUGAGAGCCACAGAUCUACUAGAAAGUCCUCCCCAUUCUCUGCGGAACCUCAGGCUCCGGGACUGACUUGAGCUGAGUGAGUUUCCACAAUCCCUCCCUGCCUCUUGUAAUGCAAAUGUUUAUUUCAGCCUUAAACUUUAAGGGGUCUGGCCAAAUGUGCCACAGCAGUUCUGAGAAGGUGGUCUGAGGGAUGGCCCACUUUCAAAUCUUUAAACUCUUAAAAUUAUCACAAGAGACAGAGAGAGAGAGAGAGAGAGAGAGAGAGAGAGAGGAAGAAAUGGGAAGAGGAAUUAUUAAAGUUCAGAGACAUUUUCUAAGAUUCCCCCGCUUUGGAACCUUAUAACUUGCCCAUUUAUCUCUCCAGUGGAAGGAAAUUUAUCUCUACCUCUGAAAUAAACAUCAGCAACUCAGUCAAUGUUUUGCCAGAAACAUGAAAAAUUAAAAAUAUCAGGUUGGGCUGGCUUCUGUGUAAAUAUGUACAGGAUCUACAUUCGACACCUCAAUCAUGAAAAUUAUGUUAACAUGUCACAGGACAUUAAUAUUUUCAAGACCAUUGGGCAAUAUUUCUAGAAAUGUGUGACUACAGGCAAUUUACAUUUUUGUUUGGACCUGCAGGCCAUGAAGGAAGAGCCCCAAGGGCACCUGGUAGGAGGGGUGAGGCCCCCCAGAGGGUGGGACGUGACCCAGCCAAGGUUUCGUUUGUUUUGUGUCCCUGCUCAUCUAUUAUCCAAGUUGGAGGCCGAGCAAGCCGAUCUGUUAGCAAUCUCUUCGCCUGCGCCGGCCGCAUCCCCUCAGCUGCUGUCAGUGGAACAUUUCAUCACGGAUGGAUGGGUUCUGCCCGGUCAGGGAGACGCAACUGAACUUGAACGGAGUCCAGCUGGCAGGGUGUCUGAUUGCCAAAAUGACCUGCUGCUUUCAAGGAGAGCAGAAUUCAAACGGUGGUCAGUGAGGUGCUCAAGGUGAUGCAGGGUGAGAAAGGGCGCCGGCACUGGCAUGCCACCACCGAGGGCCACACCGGAACUGCAGGACAGGUUCGGCCCCCGACCCCGCCGCUUAGGAUGGCGGGAACUGAAACGGCUUCUUCUCCCCUCCGCCUCCCAGUAGCGGCCAGGCUCUCGGUCCUGUUAUGUUUUGAUGCAUCUUUUGUUUGUCAAUGUAGUCGGCCUAGGUUUGGAUCCCAGAUUUGUUGUGCAUUGUAAGGGCAUUACUUAACUUCUCUGUGUCUCUGUAAUCUUACUGCACAGUGAGGACAACAUACCUUGAAAAUUAAAUGAGCUGGUAAGAUGGGUAGUGCCAUGUGGAAGUUAAGAACAUGGGCUGUGGAACUUCUGGCUGGGUUUGAAUCCCAGCUCUACCACUCACCUGCUGUGCAGCCUAGAGCAAGCUGCUUCACCUCUCUGUGCUUCAGUUUCUUCAUAUAUGACAUGAACAUGGCAAUGGUUCUCACCUGGAAGGCUUGUCUUAAUGUUACUACAGUCAGCACUUCUGGGCCUAAGUCUAGGACCUUGGGGGUUUAUAGUGUUCUCCCAGCUGGUUCUGCAAGCAGGUGGGGGCGCAGGGCAUCUCUGUGAGAAAAUUGUCUGUGUGUCCUUGGAUAACUGACUUCCCUCCUCUGAGCUUCGGUCUCUGCAUCCAUAAAAUGGAACAAUUAGACUGAAUGGUCUGUUAAUUGCUCCUUUAAAACUUUGUGAUUUCUGUGGGCACGUACACGGACCCCAAAGAUGCUGCUUCAUGCCUCUGUGCCUUUGCACAUGCUGUUCCUUCUGCCUGGAGAAACCACCCUUCCUCUGUCCACCGGGGAGCGUCUGCUCCCCUUCCACACCUCGGCCCUCAGGUUGUGUCCUCGGCAAACCCUCCAUCUCAUCCAAGCAAAGAGGAUGAAGCCUGGCCCUGGCCUCUCUACUCGCUCUUAGACUCAGGCUCCUGGUGCACUCACCCCCUUGUAUUAAACUCAUGGGAUGCACGCAGACCGAGUCUGUUCAUCCUCCUACAGCCCCACUGCCAGCAAGCCAG